This 775-nucleotide ribosomal RNA is filed under the name uncultured Neocallimastigales. Its description in RNAcentral is "partial large subunit ribosomal RNA". It matches the Rfam family "Eukaryotic large subunit ribosomal RNA", at positions 23 to 634 of the family's 3401-position model. Lineage: Eukaryota; Fungi; Neocallimastigomycota; Neocallimastigomycetes; Neocallimastigales. The record is from RNAcentral.
AGAGAGAGACAUGCGCGCAUAUCAAUAAGCGGAGGAAAAGAAACUAACAAGGAUUCCCUUAGUAACGGCGAGUGAAGCGGGAAGAGCUCAAAUUUGAAAUCUUCAAGGUUUUACCUUGACGAAUUGUAGUUUAAAGAAGUGUUUUCUGCUGAAGUUUUGGUAAAAGUUCUUUGGAAUAGGACAUCAUAGAGGGGUGAGAAUCCCGUAUUUGACCAUUAUUUUCAGCUUUGUGAUACACUUUCAAAGAGUCGGAUUGUUUGGGAAUGCAGUCCAAAAUGGGUGGUAAAUUUCAUCUAAAGCUAAAUAUUGGCGAGAGACCGAUAGCGAACAAGUACCGUGAGGGAAAGAUGAAAAGAACUUUGAAAAGAGAGUUAAACAGUACGUGAAAUUGUCAAAGGGAAGCGUUUGACACCAGUGUUGUUUUCUCGAAAAUCAAUUAAAAAUGGCUCGAUUUUGUAUUGUUGAGACCUUAAAAGCUCACUGUACAUUUUUCGUGUCUUUUUUAAUGCACUUUUCGUUUAACAAGUCAACAUCAGUUUCUUUUGUUGUAAGAGGGUCAUUGGAAGGUGGCUUUCUUUUCGGAGAAAGUGUUUAUAGGCCUUUGGCCUCUGCAAUCGGAGAGACUGAGGUCUGCAGCGUAGACUCUUCGGGGUUAGAUACAUUUGUGCUAAGUUAUAGCUUUUUAUAGACAACUUGUUGACUAUAAUUAGUCUUGUAGCUUACUCGCUUAUGCUAUUUUACCUACGCUUAGGAUGUUGAGUCGUAGAGCACGCAG